UCUAUACAGACUCAUGCAAUCUACGGCAGCAACAGAGACUUCCACCAUAACCCCAGGCACAGGCUGAGUGAUGGAUGUGACAGAUGCUGAAUGAUAUGUGCCUGAGCAAACCGCAGUGAACUCUGGGAAACCCGGAAGGAGAUGAUUAUCAUGAAAAAUGAUGUUUUAAACCUGUGAUUCAAUAUCCAGGAUCCAAGAGAAGCUUCUACAGUUCGGGCUGCAAAAACAACAGCUGGAGUUAGAAGCUCUGGGAGGUGUAGACUAGAGGCUCCUGUCCUCUUUGCAGGGACAGAAGGCUUCGCCUGUGUUCAUCAAUCCUGUUUCUCCAAAGCCAAACUGAGGAACUCAGAGGUGACGUGUAAUGAGGAAGGGAGCUGCCAGGCCCUUUGAGAAGAUCACAGUCAUCCAAAGCAGAGACACUUUAAAGCCAGGCAGAGUGGAGAUGCCACUUAGGAACUCAGGUGCUUCCUGACAAAGAAGAACACAUUACUCUUUCUGAAAAAGCUCAUCAAAUUGAACCUGCCCAUCACUGGACUUGUCCAUCACCUGGAUCUGUCCAUCAUCUGGACCUGUCCAUCACCUGGAACUGUCCAUCACUUGGACCUGUUCAUCACCUGGAUUUGUCCAUCAUCUGGACCUGUCCAUCACCUGGACUUGUCCAUCACCUGGACUGGGAAGCUAAGAAGUCCAGACCAAGAACCAGCUGAUUGUCCUGUAUCAUCUGGGUGGAUCCAAGGCAUCCCAAGGAUCCUUGUUAGGAGGAGGGAGGAGAGUCAUAAUCUCAGAGAGACUUGUGAAGACUGAAGCAGAGCGUUGAAGAAAAAAACGGUAGAGACGAUGAGAAUCCUUAUCUCACACUGACAGUGUGAGGAUCUGGGCUGGGUCUGCGAACACAGCCAGAACAGGACUCCAUGUGGAAGAACACAAACAAGUGAGAUAACACGGGUUAUAUG
This 953-nucleotide long non-coding RNA is filed under the name Mus pahari (shrew mouse). RNAcentral's name for it is "lncRNA (MGP_PahariEiJ_G0005351.1)". Lineage: Eukaryota; Metazoa; Chordata; Mammalia; Rodentia; Muridae. The record is from RNAcentral.